Leptinotarsa decemlineata (Colorado potato beetle) is the source of this 706-nucleotide long non-coding RNA. RefSeq lists it as uncharacterized. NCBI's taxonomy places the organism in Eukaryota, Metazoa, Arthropoda, Insecta, Coleoptera, Chrysomelidae. The record is from RefSeq and is a predicted model, not a curated record.
UACAUAUCAAUGUUUUUUUCAAAUGCUAUUGAAAAUGAGUUUUCGUAAUUGCAAUAAGAAAAUAUUUUGAAAAAGAGUCGAAAGUGGUGCUCUAAUAAUGGUAGCGCCCAUUUAUCCAACACAUUAAAGUAUUCAUUAUAAGUAUUCCCUAAUCAGUAAAGUAGGACAAAGGCAAAUAAUAAAGGGUCGAAAGUAGGUCUGAAAAGAUGAGUCCAAUGUUUUGAUCUAGGUUAAUUCAUUGUGCAUCGCGAGUAUAAAUAAGAUGAAUGGAUCACUUAUUCCAUUAUACAGCUGCAGUUGUUGAAUGCAACGCCAAGAUUCAAUCCAGAAUCAAUUCAACUUGACUUUACGAUGAGGUGGUACACGAAAGUAUAUCUAAUGUUGGUGGUUAUUAUAGUUUUGCAAGGCGCUUAUUCGUUACCCAUUCAAACCUCUGAAACAGCAUUGGAAACCAUGAAUCAGGUACCUCAAUGGCACUGCAUGAGAUACAGGAAGUUCGAACUAGUACGAAGGUGUAGAGGAUACAAGAACGGUAUACGAAGAUCCUGACCCCCAAAUUUAUUUACUAAUUUUAAUUGAUCUCAGUGAUUAGAAUAAGUAAUUUAUUAUUCAUCAGUAAAAUUAUUUAAACUGAAAUGUAUAUAACAUCUCUUUUAGAAUUUUCUGCUACCUUGAUAUUAUUUAUUACACUAACUUUGAACUAUUA